Molecule: ribosomal RNA, 609 nt
Filed under: uncultured bacterium
Lineage: Bacteria
Description: bacterial SSU rRNA
Rfam family: Bacterial small subunit ribosomal RNA (bases 1-525)
Source: RNAcentral
CCUACGGGAGGCAGCAGUGGGGAAUAUUGCACAAUGGGCGCAAGCCUGAUGCAGCGACGCCGCGUGAGGGAUGACGGCCUUCGGGUUGUAAACCUCUUUCAGCAGGGACGAAGCGCAAGUGACGGUACCUGCAGAAGAAGCACCGGCCAACUACGUGCCAGCAGCCGCGGUAAUACGUAGGGUGCAAGCGUUGUCCGGAAUUACUGGGCGUAAAGAGCUCGUAGGCGGUUUGUCGCGUCGUCUGUGAAAACCAGCAGCUCAACUGUUGGCUUGCAGGCGAUACGGGCAGACUUGAGUAUUUCAGGGGAGACUGGAAUUCCUGGUGUAGCGGUGAAAUGCGCAGAUAUCAGGAGGAACACCGGUGGCGAAGGCGGGUCUCUGGGAAAUAACUGACGCUGAGGAGCGAAAGCGUGGGUAGCGAACAGGAUUAGAUACCCUGGUAGUCCACGCCGUAAACGGUGGGCGCUAGGUGUGGGUUUCCUUCCACGGGAUCCGUGCCGUAGCUAACGCAUUAAGCGCCCCGCCUGGGGGAGGACGGCCGCGAGAACGUAAACGUUAAAGUUAAGUUAGUAGNGNGNGNGNGCGACGACGACGACGACGGAGGAGGAG